CAAAAGGGUGGCUAAGAAUGCCUUUAAGACAACUUGUGAUAGGAAAGCAAAGAUUGCAAUGCCAUAUGGGCAGAAAACAGCCCAGGCCAGCGCGUCGCCGUCUCAACGCCGCCGCAUCACAACUCCCCGGAAGCCACCUCCACCACGGUUUGUUCCUCAUCGCCCAGUCACCCGCAGCAGGAGCAAGCAACAGACCAAAUGUUAAGCUUCCAACAUCCAGUGGGAGCAGUUCUGCGAGCAGGACGCAGGACGCCUAUAUUGUUGUUAGCUAGUUAUAAGGUUUGUAAUAGCCGCGUUCGGCUUUGGCAUCUUGAGCAAAUUAAUGGCACUUUGAGGCAAUGUGCGAUUUCAACUUAUUACAGAUAAUGUAAUCGAGAUUAGAAUCACAUUUCUCCA
Panicum virgatum (switchgrass) is the source of this 396-nucleotide long non-coding RNA. RefSeq lists it as uncharacterized. The transcript has 3 exons. The record is from RefSeq and is a predicted model, not a curated record. NCBI's taxonomy places the organism in Eukaryota, Viridiplantae, Streptophyta, Magnoliopsida, Poales, Poaceae.